UACGGGGGGGGCAAGCGUUGUUCGGAAUUACUGGGCGUAAAGGGCUCGUAGGCGGCCAACUAAGUCAGACGUGAAAUCCCUCGGCUUAACCGGGGAACUGCGUCUGAUACUGGAUGGCUUGAGGUUGGGAGAGGGAUGCGGAAUUCCAGGUGUAGCGGUGAAAUGCGUAGAGUAUCUGGAGGAACACCGGUGGCGAAAGGCGGCAUCCUGGACCAA
This 216-nucleotide ribosomal RNA is filed under the name uncultured bacterium. Its description in RNAcentral is "partial 16S ribosomal RNA". It matches the Rfam family "Bacterial small subunit ribosomal RNA", at positions 524 to 737 of the family's 1533-position model. The record is from RNAcentral.